Non-coding RNA from Cinara cedri, 378 nucleotides. NCBI's taxonomy places the organism in Eukaryota, Metazoa, Arthropoda, Insecta, Hemiptera, Aphididae. The record is from the annotation of a GenBank genome assembly.
AUUCAUCACAAUUUCAAUCUGGCAAUACGUUAUGAACAAAUAAACAGAAGUAAUAAUGCCGAUAUUGACAAAAUCCGUUUCGUUUCACAUAAAAUAUUUUUAUUUAAAAAAGUACUUAUUUUUUCAAAAACUGCCUAUAGCCGCGUUUUUUAAUACAAAACUAGAAAUACCCAUCAUGCGAAGUAUGUUCGUAUCUUUUAGAUUCUGGGUGUAGCGAAGAAUGUAUUGGUUUUACUAAGAUUUUUAUUUUUUCAUCCUGUGAACAAAAAUUCUACCAGAAAUCUUGCUCAAAUAUAAACGUAUGGCACCAUUUCUGAAAGGGAAUGUUGUCUAGAUGGUACUUAAAAGAAGUUAUUUUUUGAUUUUUCAAGCGGUUUU